RNAcentral lists this ribosomal RNA (548 nucleotides) under uncultured bacterium. RNAcentral describes it as "bacterial SSU rRNA". It matches the Rfam family "Bacterial small subunit ribosomal RNA", at positions 355 to 894 of the family's 1533-position model. The record is from RNAcentral.
UGGGGAAUAUUGGACAAUGGGCGCAAGCCUGAUCCAGCCAUACCGCGUGGGUGAAGAAGGCCUUCGGGUUGUAAAGCCCUUUUGUUGGGAAAGAAAUCCAGCUGGUUAAUACCCGGUUGGGAUGACGGUACCCAAAGAAUAAGCACCGGCUAACUUCGUGCCAGCAGCCGCGGUAAUACGAAGGGUGCAAGCGUUACUCGGAAUUACUGGGCGUAAAGCGUGCGUAGGUGGUCGUUUAAGUCCGUUGUGAAAGCCCUGGGCUCAACCUGGGAACUGCAGUGGAUACUGGACGACUAGAGUGUGGUAGAGGGUAGCGGAAUUCCUGGUGUAGCAGUGAAAUGCGUAGAGAUCAGGAGGAACAUCCAUGGCGAAGGCAGCUACCUGGACCAACACUGACACUGAGGCACGAAAGCGUGGGGAGCAGACAGGAUUAGAUACCCUGGUAGUCCACGCCCUAAACGAUGCGAACUGGAUGUUGGGUGCAAUUUGGCACGCAGUAUCGAAGCUNACGCGUUAAGUUCGCCGCCUGGGGAGUACGGUCGCAAGAC